This 254-nucleotide ribosomal RNA is filed under the name uncultured bacterium. RNAcentral describes it as "partial 16S ribosomal RNA". It matches the Rfam family "Bacterial small subunit ribosomal RNA", at positions 524 to 776 of the family's 1533-position model. The record is from RNAcentral.
UACAGAGGUGGCAAGCGUUGUUCGGAAUUACUGGGCGUAAAGGGCGCGUAGGCGGCCAUCUAAGUCAGACGUGAAAUCCCCAGGCUUAACCUGGGAACUGCAUCCGAUACUGGAUGGCUUGAAUCCGGGAGAGGGAUGCAGAAUUCCAGGUGUAGCGGUGAAAUGCGUAGAUAUCUGGAGGAAUACCGGUGGCGAAGGCGGCAUCCUGGACCGGCAUUGACGCUGAGGGAGCGAAAGCCAGGGGAGCAAACGGG